AGAGAUUGUCUCAACAGAUCUGAAAAUCUUAGAUGAGAAACAGUUUUUUCAUUGGCAGAACUCUUCUCUCUCGAUUGAAUGUCUUUCAGUGAGGCUGUGAAGGUGAGAAGAAGUGAAAUUAAGUAUGUGAGAAAAUGUUGUUAUGUGUAUUUGUUUGGCUCAAUGCGUAUUGUGGGUUUAGAUAUGUUUGUUUCGUCUUUAAAUAUGGGUCGGGUCGGAUUUGUUUUUAAAAUUAAAAAUAGGUCAUUUAAAAUGAAUUGAGUUAUUCUGUUAGUUGAGGGUACAUAUGUAAACUUUUAUAACGACGAGGAUAUAUAUAGCCCUAAAGUAUGACGGAGGGUAAAUUUGAUCAAUUUUUCAAAAUAAAGAGGGUAUUUUUGACCCUUUUCCCAUCAUGGAAUAUCAUUGAGAAAUAGGAAUACCCUUUCUUUAAUUUAGAGUUCGGUUGGUCCAACUAAAUUGCCUAAAUCUCUUCCUCAUCUGCUGCUCUGUCUUUUAGAGUUGUAAACUGACCUCUUCCUUUUACAGCUAGACAAUUGACAAAUAAGCUGGGUAUAUAAAGAACAUAAGGUAUGAGUUGUCAUUAGCAAAAAAGUCAUAUUAUCAACGAGGGAAAUUGGCACAACCAGACAUCUCAAACAUUGAUAAACAUUGAUAAGGGAAGAAUUAGGCCUUCAUUAGAUAUUCCUUUCAUCCGCAUGGCAAGGCUUGCCAGUUUCCUGGAGUACACUCGAAUCUGGUUCGAUUCCAAGUAGGUCCUCCCCUAAAGUCGCUUUCAUGUUACCAAGAGGCACGGAUUUAAGCUGUGGAAAUAACGUCUAGUAAAAAUGUACAAUAGACCCGGGCACUUUUCUGACCCCUGCAUCGGGGGAGCUUUGGUGUACUGCACUCAAAUAGGUCGAGUAAAGCUGUUCAUCGAAGCUAGUAUGAUGGCUUCGUAGUGAGUGUUGUUGUUGGGAUUUGGAUAUGGAAUCUCCAGCCACAGGAUACUGUCUUUACCUGCAAAGUUUGGAAGGAAAUUGUACCAGUUUCUGGCCAAGUACUUGAUGGUCUGCUAUUUUCAAUCACAAGAGGUGCUUCACUGGCAAGGUUCGAGUACUGGAGAAUCCUUUCAACUGAUAUCAUUUUGUUUUCAGCAUUGCAAAUAUUCCAUAUAACGGAAGCUUGUAAAAUAUUCAAAUUGAUCCCAUAUGUUACUGCUAAUCCUGCAAUGCCUGUAGAAUAUAAAGCACCAUCAGUUUCCUCUGAUUUCUUUUAUGAAGUUGAAGUUCUUAACA
Molecule: long non-coding RNA, 1277 nt
Organism: Capsicum annuum
Lineage: Eukaryota; Viridiplantae; Streptophyta; Magnoliopsida; Solanales; Solanaceae
Exons: 2
Source: RefSeq, a predicted model, not a curated record